GUAAAAUAACACGGUCUAGCUAACGGUGACGACCUUUCUCUAAACUAGCCCCUUCGCUCCCAGGGAUGUCACAUGACUGUACCGCGUAUCACGCUGGUCGACCAGGAAAUACGUAAUGUCAGCUAGAUAAUCCUUUCUCUCAGGGUCCAGCUGACACGGACUAUCAAAAUGGUGUCACUAAUUUGCACGAUCAGAGACCACAGAGAUGACAUAAACUGGUGUGCAUUCUCUCCUAAACUGUUGGCUACGUGCUCCUCUGACAAGACCAUCCGCGUCUAUUUUACACAGGACUUCUCUGAGCUUGCAUUCUCGCCACUUACUGGACACGGAUAUGGGGUCCAUUGCUGUUGCUUUAGUCCCUGUGGCAAGUUCUUGGCAUCUUGCUCAACAGACGCCACAACAGUUGUCUGGAGUAUGGACACCGGUGACUUAGUGACAGUGUUUGAGCACCCAGGGCGAAGCCCCGUCAGGGUGUGCGUUUUCUCCCCUGAUUCUUCUUUGAUCUCAGGUGCGUCUGAUGGGACUCUCGCCCUGUGGGACUUGCCUUCAAAAAGGUUGCGCAGGACCGGUGCAAGUAACGAAGCCUCGAUUGUAGCAUGUUCCUUCACUCCAUGCGGUCAGAUGUUUGCAACGGGAUCAACCUAUGGCGACAUUAGGGUCUGGGAUCUAGAACUGAAUCCUCUUCACACUGUGAAGAAUGCCCAUGAUCUAGGGGUCACCUGCUGUCAAUUUGCACCCAAGCUCCAGAAUGACGGGUGUUUGUCGCGGCUUCGACUGGCCUCCUGUGGGCAGGACAGCCAGCUGAAGAUCUGGAUGCUCUCUCGGCAAGCCGCAGCAGGUUGCAAGCUGCAGCUGCUGCACACGCUGGUGGGGCAGACUGCGCCCGUGCUCUCCUGCGCCUUCUCCGCUGACGCGCAGCUGCUGGUCUCGGGCUCAGUGGAUAAAACUAUCACAGUGUAUGGUGCUGACCAAGGUGUUUUGCUGUAUAGAUUACACCAGCAUGAAAGAUAUGUGACAGCCUGUGCCUUUUCAGCAACCGCACCUUGCCUUAUAGCCACAGGAUCCAUGGACAAGUCCGUGAACAUCUGGCGGGUGGAGGAUGGGAGGCAGUCAAAGCUCUUCUCACUACACCCUCCAACCACAGUUACAGGCAAUCAAAGCUCUUCUCACUACACCCUCCAACCACAUUUACAGGCAGUCAAAGCUCUUCUCACUACACCCUCCAACCACAGUUGCAGGCAGUCAAAGCUCUAUUCUUCUCACCACAACCUCCAAGCAAGCAUGGUUACGACAGACUCCCCUUGCAACAGCAAACUUUUAAGUGUGCACAUGCGGACGUGUGAGCAAUUAGCAAUUUAGAGAGUCACUGACUGUACAAUUUGCAGUUGGAGCUUUUUAUGAGAAUGGUUGAUCAUUCCACAUUUAUUUCCUACUGUCUCACUGAGAACAGCAUUAUGUAUUCACAUCGAUUUACUGGAGGGUUGUGCGUUUGUAAAAUAACAGGCUAUGUUGUGUAGUUGGGGAUGAAUCCUCUCCUCUCAGCAAGACUGCAGACCCCCUACGGACAGCAAAGGCUUGUCACUCAAAGCUUUUUUCUGCGUAUAAUAGCACGAAUCGGCGCUACGUGAGCAAAUGCUGGAGGAAACCCCGCUCCUUUGCGAGAGCUGAAGGAACACACUUCCUGUGCCCCGGAGAGCUGUGGGGAGAAUGUUUCCUGGCUGAGGUAGCUGGGUAGGGGCAGAGGAGGGUUAUGAAUGCAGCGGCUGGCCCCUGAGCUUCAGGCCUCCGCCGACAGAUGGUACAGGGCCCCUCUGGGGAUAGCGGACCUGAAUUGGGAUUCUAUAAAUAUCACCCGAAAACGCUCCACCGUCGACACCCAGCCGCAGGCCACUUCCUGGGGAUUUCCUCUGCCAGUAGCUGGCGCUGACGGAAAAUGCCAGAAACCGGGCCUCUCUGCGCAGCUCUACGAGCGUAUCUUUCUGAUAAUACGUUUGCAGCCAUGAAGGAUUUCUGUAUGUUUAGGAGCUGCGUCGCAAGCCUCGUGCAUGGCCUCAGAGUUCCCCUUCACAUUUCCUUAUGUGAGAUUAAAUACACUUUCGCCUGAACAGAAGUACAGGCCUGAACAGCCCCCCCCCCCCCCCCCACUUUGCUGUGCGAGACGCUAACGUUGUUUUUUCCUCCUCUGUUAAUCAUUAGGAGAUGAAGGGAAGUCCCCGCCGGCUGAAAGCAGUAUAGCCACAUGUGAAGGUAAGAGAAGAACAGUUCAUCCAUUGCACUGUGCUGUCAGUCCUUGCCAUUUUAAAAUGUCAUGGUCUGUUUUCAUUUUAGCAGUGUUAUAGGUACUGGGACAGUUAAUGCAUUAGAAGACAAAAUCACAAACGACAAGGCCGAUAAAGCCACAGUAUUCACUCAGCAGUGGAAGAUUAUAUUAAGUGGGCCAUCUAUGGGAUGACCUCACAAUGGUGGAAGAAUCAGACAGCAGGUCAGAGUAGGCUGCUGUCCACCUCCAAACGCACACCCUCAAAUUCCAAAAACUGUGUUUUCAUCACAUUAGUUGAGCGGCAGCCCUCGCUGCUGCUGACAUCCAGGGACGCCUGUCCACUUUGGGAUGGGCGAGGGUUUGUGUGUGUGGGGGUUUGUUAUUUUGAAGUUGGCUUUUUUUAUGAUAUUGCUGUAUGUCUUGUCAGGUCAUUCUGGGAAAAAGAAACUUUGCACACUUGAGUAUUGUUUUGACCACAGGUGCACUGUUAAAAAUAUAGCCACUUGUACACUGCAGUUUAAAUGGGUUUUCAUAUCUGUCUUUCACUUUCAGUCUAGCUUAGGCAAGAUGCACAGUCUGUAGACUCUAACAUGGAGGUAUUUCUGCACACCACUUUGAGUCUUCGGCUGCACAUAUGCACACACAGAAAGGCCAUGAUUAAUGUGAUGCCUGUGGCCAUACUAGUAAUUGUUAAUAAUCAGUUAAUUGUGAAUAAUUAAUUGCCAAAAAAUCUGAAAGAUUUCAUUUAAUUGUCUUAAGUGUUAUUUCUUUAUAGUCAAGGUUGGAGAACAUACUGUGGCUAACCUAAAGACCAAAUGGAGCUUGACUUUAUUUCACGUUAUGCUGAAAGCUAGAAAAUGUGCUUUGUCAUAAUAAAUGAAAUGUAUUAGAUAUAAAUAUUUGCAUGUUAUCAGUUUAUGGUUUAUAUCAGAGACCACCCACCAAGAUGUGAAAGUCAAAUCCCAUACACAACCUCCAAACAGGCCAUGGAAAUCUAGAGGCGAAUAUAGUGUAUAUUCCAAGCAGUAAAAAUAUGGGAUGUGCAUUUCGCCAAAUCUAAAUUCUGUGAUGUAUUAUUUCAAAGUGUAAACACACCCUAAGAGAACCACUCAAAGCUGUAAGGGAUGAACUCCACAUUGGUAAUGCUAGCCGAUAAUUUAUUUAGUUGUGCUAACACUUUAGUCUUUAACCUUUCAUCAGGGCACGGUUGAGUAAAAACUCGUAGAUAAUGGUCUUCACGUAUAUAA
RNA transcript from Anguilla rostrata (American eel), 3507 nucleotides. It is a transcript of the gene named WD repeat, sterile alpha motif and U-box domain containing 1, with no coding region annotated. The record is from RefSeq and is a predicted model, not a curated record. Lineage: Eukaryota; Metazoa; Chordata; Actinopteri; Anguilliformes; Anguillidae. The transcript is spliced from 9 exons.